This 592-nucleotide ribosomal RNA is filed under the name Kluyveromyces marxianus. Its description in RNAcentral is "LSU rRNA". It matches the Rfam family "Eukaryotic large subunit ribosomal RNA", at positions 36 to 664 of the family's 3401-position model. The record is from RNAcentral. Lineage: Eukaryota; Fungi; Ascomycota; Saccharomycetes; Saccharomycetales; Saccharomycetaceae.
UUGCCUUUUCCAUAGCGGAGCAAAAGAAACCAACCGGGAUUGCCUUAGUAACGGCGAGUGAAGCGGCAAAAGCUCAAAUUUGAAAUCUGGCGUCUUCGACGUCCGAGUUGUAAUUUGAAGAAGGCGACUUUGUAGCUGGUCCUUGUCUAUGUUCCUUGGAACAGGACGUCAUAGAGGGUGAGAAUCCCGUGUGGCGAGGAUCCCAGUUAUUUGUAAAGUGCUUUCGACGAGUCGAGUUGUUUGGGAAUGCAGCUCUAAGUGGGUGGUAAAUUCCAUCUAAAGCUAAAUAUUGGCGAGAGACCGAUAGCGAACAAGUACAGUGAUGGAAAGAUGAAAAGAACUUUGAAAAGAGAGUGAAAAAGUACGUGAAAUUGUUGAAAGGGAAGGGCAUUUGAUCAGACAUGGCGUUUGCUUCGGCUUUCGCUGGGCCAGCAUCAGUUUUAGCGGUUGGAUAAAUCCUCGGGAAUGUGGCUCUGCUUCGGUAGAGUGUUAUAGCCCGUGGGAAUACAGCCAGCUGGGACUGAGGAUUGCGACUUUUGUCAAGGAUGCUGGCGUAAUGGUUAAAUGCCGCCCGUCUUGAACCCGGGGACCA